AAGAGUUCACAGAGGAAGAAUUAAUAAAUGGGGUUGAUUUAAAAGGAAGUGAGUAUAGAGCUGUCACAUGAAAUGUAAAUUAUAAGCAAUUUUUUUGUAUUAACCUACUAGAGCAAUGAAUUAAACAUUGUGAUGUAUUUUUAUUAACGUUUCUAGAAGUUUAAAUAUCUUAAUUUACGUUCCGUUGGCAAAGUAUUUAUGGAGUUAAUUGUAGCUCAAUGUUUUAUUUUUAUUUUUUUGCUAUGAAUUGUAACUCAAUAUAAACUAGUUGAAUUCCAAAUAGUGUAUGUAUUAUUCCUUGA
This 302-nucleotide long non-coding RNA is filed under the name Capsella rubella. Its description in RNAcentral is "long non-coding RNA (CRUB_LNC002768)". Lineage: Eukaryota; Viridiplantae; Streptophyta; Magnoliopsida; Brassicales; Brassicaceae. The record is from RNAcentral.